This is an RNA transcript of Lytechinus pictus (painted urchin), 4918 nucleotides long. It is a transcript of the gene named glutathione-specific gamma-glutamylcyclotransferase 1-like, with no coding region annotated. The transcript is spliced from 5 exons. Lineage: Eukaryota; Metazoa; Echinodermata; Echinoidea; Temnopleuroida; Toxopneustidae. The record is from RefSeq and is a predicted model, not a curated record.
AGAGCACGCGUUUCAGAAACAAAACAACGAGCGUCUAUAUGACAUCGCGCACCAUUGGCUGUAGGGUACGUCACAAUAGAAUAGUAUGCAUUAUUCAUGAUAAACAAACCGGCGAAUGUGUCAAGCACGAGUGAGCGGCCGCAUGCCUUCCCGAAUGACAACAAACACAGAGUAAAUUGAUCAGCCCAACAGACAACAUACUGCAGCAUUCAAUACAAGGCGGUAACAUCCUUCCUAUUCCCGAAGUAAAGGACAACAUAUUUUUAUCAUCAAUUCUAGGCAUUAAUAACCAUCAUCUGAUCUCCCAUUUCAGGCCAUUUUGGGGGAGAAUUUGCUGGGAUUCGGACGUCAACAUGGCACCGCAGACGAGUGAUAGUGACAAUAAUGUAUCAGCGGAGGAGAUGAUGGCUAAAGAUUGUGUUUGGAUCUUCGGCUAUGGCUCCCUGAUAUGGCAUCCCAACUUUGAAUACACGGAGAAAAAGAUUGGCUACGUCAAAGGAUAUGUGACUAGGUUCUGGCAAGGCAGUAUAUCACAUCGAGGUACACCAGAUAAGCCUGGGAGAGUAGCGACAAUGGUUGAGCAGAAAGAGGGUCAAGCAUGGGGUGUGGUGUUCAAGUUAGAAGGAAGUGAACAGAUCACCAAGGCAUUCCUACAUCUCAACAUGCGGGAGUGUCUUCUAGGCUGUUAUCAGGUCCAACAAGUUACCUUCAACAUCGUCGGUGACAAGGACCAGUCCACGGUGCAAGCCAUCGCGUUCCGAGCCACACCCGACAACGAGCUCUUUGUUGGACCAGACUCCGUCGAGACUGCGGCGAGGAUUGUCGCAUCUUCCUGGGGCAGAACCGGACACAAUGCUGAAUACUUGUUCCGCCUUGUUGAUUUCAUGCAUAAGACAGUACCCGAUGCCAAGGAUAGGUACUUAUUUGAACUCGAGAAGCUUACACAGAAGUUUCUAAACUGCAAAUGUUCAUCAAAGAAAAGUAUCUCAAAGACCAGUAUACGCCAUAAAGGUUCUAAAGUGAUUGCUCCUAGGACCAGAAGGUCAGACCAACUGCAAUAUUAUCACAAGUGUUACCUCAGUGUCUUGCCAUUGGACCAAAGUGUUCAUUAAUGAAUCUUGUACUUUAUCUUUGUGUCAGCUGUGAGUUGAAACCAUAGAUAUCUAUUAAAAAAGAGAAAUAUAUAAGAAAAAAAAAAACAAUAUGAAAUAUGGGAGCCUUACUGUCCUUUGAAAAUAUAUUCUAUUUAUAAAUCAUAUGCUCCGUCUUGCCCAGUAAGGCAUAGCUGGUAUAAAAAGAAAUAGGUAUUUGGAUUAUCAGGGUUUCUAGUACGAUUCCAGGGGGUUUUUCACAGAGAAAUAAUUGUGACUUGAAGUUGCUCGUCAAUUCAUAUUAUAGUUAAGUACAUAGGUCUGUUUGUUACGCAUUACCCAAAUGGUCAGAUUAUGCUCAGGGGACAUACGCUACUAUGUAGUCAACAAUUAGCUUUACACGUUACAUAUCAUGUGUGCGUUGGCACUUCAGCAUGACUUCAAGUCCUACUUAAUUCUUUUUCUGAAACAUCACACAAGUCUCCUGGAUGGAACUUGAGGAAUAGGCAUGUGUGUGAAUACCCACUGAUGCAAUUUAACAAUGGCUUCAACACCGAGCUGGGUUCACAUAGUAUGUUCCAAUACUUUUGAAUUAACUAAUAAGUGUGGCAUUUAUAUCACUUAUCCACAGGGUUGUCAGAAUGCACGUAAAAUUGUAAUCAAACACUCCCCCAAAUCAAAUGUAACUAGACUUUCAACCAAUCAGAAGCAUGCAUCUGGAACUUGCAUCAAUUUUUAUUUAAAACAUUUUUUUGGGGGGGGGUUAGUUUUGCAUUUAAAAGUGACUCUUAGCGCAAUGGGACCACAGGUUCCAACUAAAGUAAUUCUUUAAUAACCAAUGCAGGAGAGAGUGCCAAUCUUAACUUCAUAUAACACCAAAGAAAUCAAGAUGAUAUUAUGCUAUGUCUACACAAGUAUCAAUUUUAAUCAAAACCUAUAUGUUGUCAACCUUUUGACUACUGCUUUCUUUCUGUCCUAACAAAAUAAAAGGACCAUGCCUGGAGCAGUAUGAUGUAUCUUAUAAGUGAUUAUUUUUCACUUGUAAGUUUGAAAAGUCCUGAAAGCUUGGAAUAAGUGAAAGUCAUUGACAAGACACUAAUGUUAUCAAUGAGAGAUAGAGCUAUAUCAUAGUAUCAUGGUAUUUGAAUACAGACAGGACAUCGUUAUUAUGCUUGAUGACCACAAUCUUCCCAGUUUAUAGGAAAUCUAAGUCAUACAGAACUCAAGUCUCAAAAGUCAAACCAUAUAUUUUUUUAAAUUGAAAUACCUUUAAUCAUUUUGAACACAAGCUCAAGCCCAGCUUCUACACUUUAUUUCAGACUGUAACUUUAAUUGCAGUCUAAUACGCCAACUGACAUGUUCAAUUUUUUUUCUAUAAAGUUCUCUUUUAAAACAAGUUUAUUCUUGACUUCUUGCCUUGAGCUUGCCCACAAAGCAAUGUGCGAUUAAUCAAAACAGAUAGUAUUGUAGGAAUACAGUUUUUUUUAAUAUAUACUUGAACUGGGUGGUAGUCGGAGUGAUUAUUAGGUUAUUAGGUCCUCUUGAAAGAAAUGUAGACUACACUAGAUAAGCGAACCCUUUUUGAUUGAAAUGAAGACUUAAUUAAAUGAUGUUUUAAAGCAUGUGGUUCAGAUGAAUUAUUUACAGAAUACAAAUCUUACAUGUAGUUUGGAUCCCUAGAUAGAUACAGGGCACAGUAUUACAACAAAAAUAAAAUCUAUUUUUGAAAAAUCAUUUUUUUACCAUGUAUAUUAUAUUUUGAAUGGCGCCACCAAUAUAAUUGUAAAUCUCGCUAACCAGAGAAUUACCACAAUUUGAUUUUUUUCUUUAUUUGCAUCUAUUGGAAAGAAUAUGCCAAAAUCUGUGUACUAACAAAAAUUGAUUUCUCUAUUUUAUCUAUAUGUUGAGAUAUAGCAGUUUUACAUCUUGGAAAUAACAUUUUUGUUGUUAUGAACUAGCAAAGAAGUUACAAAUGGUUCACUCAUGCAAAAGAAUUGAAUGGCGAGUAGUCUUAUGAAGUGAUGAAUUAAUGGCUAAUACAGUUUGGAAGACUACAUGUAUGCUCUCUUUUAAUUUCAUGUGCAUCUCUUUAUUAUUUCUUUGCUUAACAACUGUCAAUUGAUUUUAUAAGAUAUCUCUUUUUUAAUACUUGUGAUUAUAAUUGAUGUGGCAUUCCAAACUAUAAUUAUAAUCAAUCCUGUGUGUGAACAAUAUACCGGGAAACAUGUAUUAAACUUGGCAAUAUAUGUUGUAAUACUGAUUGUGUGGAUAUUCAAGAAUGGUGCUAUAAACUUGAACAUCAGAUAAAAUUGCUUUGUAUCAUUACUUCCUAUUUCACUUUAUUUUUAAUUCAAUGGAGAAUCAAUGGAAGCUUAUUCAGUAUUUGUAAUAUAUUUAUAUUAUAGAAAAAUAUAUUCACUAACAUUAGUACAUGCAUUUAAAGGGUUACUAGCACGCACAACAGGCAAUAUAGGAGUAGCUUCACACCUAACAUAUAUAAUCAAUGUAGAUAAAGAAUGCAGAUGUAGAGAUAUUCUUUGAAGAAAACUUAUGGAAAAGCUAGUAAAGAUAUCCAAGAAUGGGCAAGUCAAAGGUACACACACAAAAUUUUUUGGUUCAUUUGCCUUCAGUUGUACUCUCAUAUAGAUUUAUUCAUUCGAAAUUGAAUAAAAACUCUUUGAGUUGAUUAUAUUAACAUGAUUAAGAUGCACCCAGUGCUCUUAAAAAUAAGUUCUAUGCAUGUGCUCAACUCCAACAUAUAUGUGUGUGUAUUGUUUCAUGCUUUAUAUAGCCUACUGUAUACCAUUUUUCUUUAAUUCCUUUUUUUAUUGAGAGCAGGUUUUGAAUUAUCAUUAUUUUAUGAAUUCUAGCUCAAUAGUAAAUAUCACAUCAGGUGGAAAUCAUAUGAAGCAGUAUUAUCUCAGAAACAACAUAAGAGGACAAAAAAAAAUCAGUAUUAUCGUUGAUUAUCAUUUUAGAAGAACACAAUAAAUUUCUGCAUGUGAAUUUUCAACACAUAUAACUGUUCAUAUAAAUGGCCUGGGCCCAAGUAUGUACACGUUGGCAAGCAUUUGCAAAAUAGACCAAUCCUGAUCAUUGUUGAAUACACAUGUAGUGAACAACAAUACAAAGUAUAAACCAAUCAAAAUGAUUGUUCUUGAAGUCAAUUGAAAACCUCCAUAAUACGGACCUUAAACCUUAUCAAGUUUGAUUCAAGGGUUUGAAAAAAGUAGAAAGCCCUUCCUAGUUUAACACUGCCAUGUAUAGGAAAGUAAUUUAAUAUUAUUUCCUAAUGUACAUGUAUUAUUACACUCUGAAAUAAAGGACUUGCCAUACAGAUAUUAUAGGCCAACCCCGAAUGGUGUAAACAAGAUAUCAGAGAACUUUCCUAAAAAAGGGAGAAAAUACAAGAAUCUCUUGUAAUAAAUAUGAUUGUUGUAAAUUGUCUUUAAAAAUGAUAUGAAAACACUACCAAAGAUUCAUAAAUUUGGACUGAAAUGUUUAUGGGAGAUCAAUUUUGGAGUCACUUUGUAAUAUUAGUGGGCUUCCUUUUUUAUUUAAAUUUGUAAUUCGUUCAAUUUUGGUCAAUGUGAAGUAAUCUAGACACAUCAACAUGUAUGUGUUUUUUUCCUUCUGUAAAGUGACUUUAGAAAGUUGACAGAUAAUUGAAUGCUUACUCUAAAUGUGACCUCCCAUUAUGUUGACAUUGAAUAUCAUUGAAUUAAUAUGUUUGCUCAAUAAGUUGGAAUGUGUGGCAUUAUUGUAUAUAGGCCUACGAAAGAGAGAAUCAUUUUAUUGUAUAAAUAAAAUAUAAUAUAUAGAUUUGA